GCCUGUCCCGUCUGUUGCAUCGGCUUUGGCGAUUUCGGGCCAUUAUGGAGGAGCCCUACCUACUGUUGCUUUAGCUAGACGCGCAAUGGCACCUCGUCAGCCUGAGGUGGCCCGUCGACUACGAGUGGCUGGGUGUUUGCCGCUCAAAUCGAGGAACCUGCUGCCGCUAAUGAUGUCUUGACAGGUAUGGCUUAAUUCAAGCAAGCAGGUAUUUCGGC
This 218-nucleotide long non-coding RNA is filed under the name Ananas comosus (pineapple). RNAcentral's name for it is "long non-coding RNA (ACOM_LNC038914)". The record is from RNAcentral. Lineage: Eukaryota; Viridiplantae; Streptophyta; Magnoliopsida; Poales; Bromeliaceae.